Molecule: ribosomal RNA, 235 nt
Filed under: Candidatus Scalindua brodae
Lineage: Bacteria; Pseudomonadati; Planctomycetota; Candidatus Brocadiia; Candidatus Brocadiales; Candidatus Scalinduaceae
Description: partial 16S ribosomal RNA
Rfam family: Bacterial small subunit ribosomal RNA
Source: RNAcentral
GAGCACGUAGGGGGUUUGUAAGUCAGAUGUGAAAGCCUUCUGUUCAACGGGAGAAUUGCAUCUGAAACUGCUAAUCUUGAGUAUAGGAGGGGAGAAUGGAACUUCUGGUGGAGCGGUGAAAUGCGUAGAUAUCAGAAGGAACGCCGGCGGCGAAAGCGAUUCUCUGGCCUAUUACUGACACUCAGUGUGCGAAAGCUAGGGGAGCAAACGGGAUAGAUACCCCGUAGCAGCUUAU